AUGCCAAGUAUUAGAAGAUGGUGGUCUGCCCUUUUGCUGGAUCUGAUCCCACCAAGAUCAUUCACGAAAAGCCAGCAAAGAAAAAAGAGGCGAAUCGGGGCUGACAAGAGACAAGACACUGGUGUGGUGAACUGGAAGGCAUUUAGUGAGAACUUCAGAUCCCUGUACAGGAUUCCUUACUCAAUAUCCAGAUGCCUCCAGUGUGACAGCUUGUACAAGCAUUAUGGAGCAGGCUACAGAGGGAGAGGACAAAGAGGCGUGUUGCAGGGGUUUUACUCCUCUGAUGACUUUGAGGACAACUAGAGCCCAGAUACAGGUCCCCUGUAAAGACCUUGUCUCAGAGGACCACCAGGACAAGACCACAGGAAACAGAUGAUUCUUCUGCACAAUCUGACUUUGCUGCAGUCUGGAAUUGAACUACUGGUUUCGUCUGGUCAGAGGAGAACUGACCUCCAACUGAACCUGAUUUCUCCCAAGGUUUUUUUCUCCAUUCUGUCACCGAUGGAGUUUCGGUUCCUUGCCGCUGUCGCCUCUGGCUUGUUUAGUUGGGGUCACUUCAUCUACAGCGAUAUCAUUGACUUGAUUGCAAAUAAAUGCAUAGACACUUUUUAAACUGAACAGAGAUGAAUUCAAUGUUUUAUUUAGGAGUGUACCAGACUCCAAAGAAGGCCAGAGAUUCCAAGUUGUCAUCCCGGCAAAGUUGAAGGAAGCAAUUUUAACUUAUGCACAUGACAAUCCUCUGAGUGGACACUUGGGCAAAUUUAAGACACUGAUGAGACUUUUAGAGUUCGCUUAUUGGCCUUCAAUUCGCACAGAUGUAUGGCAGCACUGCCGGAAUUGUCAGAAAUGUCAGCAACAUAAACAGACCAACUUAAAACCAUACAAAGUGUACCCCUAGUCGAGCCCGGUUAUAUGCUGGGAAUGGACAUCAUGGGACCAUUUCCCCGAAUCACCCGACAGAACGAAUAUCUGCUGGUUAUAGUGGACUACUUCUCAAAAUGGGUAGAAGUAUUUCCCAUGAGAGCUGCCAAAUCUGCUACCAUUGUGCGAAUAUUAAGAGAGGAAAUUUUCACGAGAUGGGGAACAUGUUACCACUAGCAGCCGCUUGAGGGCGCUAGAGGUAAUUGAUUACCGGAUAUAAGCCCCGAUCAUAGACGAGCAAGUCAGAUUCUUUGGUAGAGGGAAACCUCAUGGUUGAGCUCAUGGCUGGCUACCUUCUUUCUCACAAGUCCUGUUUGAGAACUGUUUAAGUUUACGCUCAAACAAGGACUUUUUGUUUGGCCUUUUUUAGACCUUAUUGGACUCUUUGGACAUUUGAUACCUUUAUUGUUCCAUGCUGCACGUGUUCUCCUCAUUUGAGCACUAUUUACCACACGAUCUUCUAUAAGCAACCUUGGUUUGUUGCUACAGAUCUACAGUGCUGCUUAUCUCCAUUCCAUUCUCACUGGUCUCACUGGAUUAUAACAUUGCAUCGUCCUCAAAUAACCGUUUGGAUUUUAAUCAUCUCAUCAGCAUCAUCAUCAUCAUCAUCAUCUGAUUCAUCUAACAUUGAACUAACAUGAUAAGGUUCAUUUAUUAUUGACUUUCCUUAAAUGCUCAUAAAAAUGCUCAGUUAUUUAUAUUGAUUAUCUAUCGUGCACUUGGGAAUAAAACCAAAAAGAGAAACGUAUUUGUUUGGUGAAGUGGUUUUAUUAUUAGUACCAGUCGAAUUCUGUGGGACCCCUCAGAUUGUAUC
RNAcentral lists this long non-coding RNA (1735 nucleotides) under Carassius auratus (goldfish). RNAcentral's name for it is "lncRNA (ENSCARG00000041234.1)". Lineage: Eukaryota; Metazoa; Chordata; Actinopteri; Cypriniformes; Cyprinidae. The record is from RNAcentral.